UAUGUGAUCGUCUCUCGCAUAUCAAUAAGCGGAGGAAAAGAAACUAACAAGGAUUCCCCUAGUAACGGCGAGUGAAGCGGGAAGAGCUCAAAUUUGAAAUCUUAAAGGGUUUCCCUUUACGAAUUGUAGUUUAAAGAAGUGUUUUCUGUUGAGGUUUUGGUAAAAGUUCUUUGGAAUAGGACAUCAUAGAGGGUGAGAAUCCCGUAUUUGACCUUUACUUUCAACUUUGUGAUACACUUUCAAAGAGUCGGAUUGUUUGGGAAUGCAGUCCAAAAUGGGUGGUAAAUUUCAUCUAAAGCUAAAUAUUGGCGAGAGACCGAUAGCGAACAAGUACCGUGAGGGAAAGAUGAAAAGAACUUUGAAAAGAGAGUUAAGCAGUACGUGAAAUUGUCAAAAGGGAAGCGUUUGACACCAGUGUUGUUUUUCUGAAAAUCAAUUAAAGAACUGUUUAUGCUAAGUUGUUUAGACUUUAUCAGCUAACUGUUUAGUUUUGAGCUUUUCUUUAAUGCACUUUUCAGUUAACAAGUCAACAUCAAUUUCUUUUGCUGUAAAAAAGCUUGAGGAAGGUGGCUUGAGAUUCGUCUUAAGUGUUUAUAGCCUCUUGCCUAUGCAGUCGGAGAGAUUGAGGUCUGCAGCGUAGAUCCUUCGGGGCUAAAUGCAUUUGUGCUAAGUUAUAGCAUUUUAUAGACAACUUGUUGACUAUGAUUUGUCUUGUAGCUUACUCGCUUAUGUUAUUUUACCUACGCUUAGGAUGUUGAAGACUCUACAGAGAU
Molecule: ribosomal RNA, 773 nt
Filed under: uncultured Neocallimastigales
Lineage: Eukaryota; Fungi; Neocallimastigomycota; Neocallimastigomycetes; Neocallimastigales
Description: partial large subunit ribosomal RNA
Rfam family: Eukaryotic large subunit ribosomal RNA
Source: RNAcentral